AUACGGAAGGUCCGGGCGUUAUCCGGAUUUAUUGGGUUUAAAGGGUGCGCAGGCGGGAGAUUAAGUCGGCGGUGAAAUUUUGCAGCUCAACUGUAAAAGUGCCUUCGAAACUGGUUUCCUUGAGUGUAGAUGAAGUAGGCGGAAUUUGUGGUGUAGCGGUGAAAUGCAUAGAUAUCACGAGGAACUCCGAUUGCGCAGGCAGCUUACUAAACUACUACUGACGCUCAGGCACGAAGGCGUGGGGAUCAAACAGGAUUAGAUACCCUGGUAGUCCACGCAGUAAACGAUGAUUACUAGCUGUUUGCGAUACAAUGUAAGCGGCUGAGCGAAAGCGUUAAGUAAUCCACCUGGGGAGUACGUUCGCAAGAAUGAAACUCAAAUGAAUUGACGGGG
This 393-nucleotide ribosomal RNA is filed under the name uncultured bacterium. RNAcentral's name for it is "partial 16S ribosomal RNA". It matches the Rfam family "Bacterial small subunit ribosomal RNA", at positions 523 to 918 of the family's 1533-position model. The record is from RNAcentral.